Molecule: non-coding RNA, 387 nt
Organism: Xyrichtys novacula (pearly razorfish)
Lineage: Eukaryota; Metazoa; Chordata; Actinopteri; Labriformes; Labridae
Source: the annotation of a GenBank genome assembly
UGCGCAGUGUGGACAGGGAUGAGAGGACUUGGGAGACACCCACUGGCAACGAGACAGUGUUAAAAAUACCACAACAGAGGCAAGUGUUUGACAGCCUUAUGUGUGGAUAAUCUUUGUGAUGUGUUAAUAAGGGUUAUAAAAACUAACUAUGAAUAUAUGAAUAUACAUAUACGUCUUAAAAAGGCUGGCUCUGUGGUUGGACUCAAGCUGGACUCAGUGGAGGAUGUGGUGGAGAGAUCUACACUGAAGAAGGUGGAGACUAUUCUAAAGAACAUGGAUCACCCACUUCACAACACCUUGAUGGACCAAAGGGCCCAUAGUGGUGGACGGCUCCUCUCUCUUUGCAACAGGACAGAAAGAUUCAGAAGAUCUUUUGUACCAACAGCC